RNAcentral lists this ribosomal RNA (253 nucleotides) under uncultured bacterium. Its description in RNAcentral is "partial 16S ribosomal RNA". It matches the Rfam family "Bacterial small subunit ribosomal RNA", at positions 524 to 776 of the family's 1533-position model. The record is from RNAcentral.
UACGGAGGGGGCUAGCGUUGUUCGGAAUUACUGGGCGUAAAGCGCACGUAGGCGGCUUUGUAAGUUAGAGGUGAAAGCCCGGGGCUCAACUCCGGAAUUGCCUUUAAGACUGCAUCGCUAGAAUUGUGGAGAGGUAAGUGGAAUUCCGAGUGUAGAGGUGAAAUUCGUAGAUAUUCGGAAGAACACCGGUGGCGAAGGCGGCUCACUGGCUCGUUUCUGACGCUCAGGCGCGACAGCGUGGGGAUCAAACAGG